GGGGGCGAGUAGUUUCGACGGAGAGUGAGUGAGUACGGGAUAAGCGGGCCGAGAUCCCACCAACUCGUUAAACGGUGGACCGCAAAUAAGCGCCAACAACAACGCGCUUCCUGCGGCUGCCUAAGAUAGCGCCGCACGCCGCUUAGCCUUCUUCCUGCGAAGUCUAGGCGGUGUCAACCCAGCAGGAUAGUCGCACGCUGCAUCCCGGAGGUGUGCGGCGAAGCUUUUCCGGGAUAGCGGCAACGGGAUCCUGCCUAUGGGAGCCCUUGCCGUGAAGGUAAAGCAUAGGCUACGCCCGUAGAAACCUGUGCGAGCUUCUCUUCGGACCAGGGGUGCGACUCCCCUGCGCCUCCACCA
This 357-nucleotide transfer-messenger RNA is filed under the name Limnochordia. RNAcentral's name for it is "JAAYLA01 sp012522135 Standard tmRNA". It matches the Rfam family "transfer-messenger RNA". From Rfam's summary of the family: Bacterial tmRNA, also known as 10Sa RNA or SsrA, is named for its dual tRNA and mRNA-like properties. Its role is to liberate the mRNA from a stalled ribosome. To accomplish this part of the tmRNA is used as a reading frame that ends in a translation stop signal. The record is from RNAcentral. Lineage: Bacteria; Bacillati; Bacillota. RNAcentral also lists the same sequence under 1 other name.